This is a long non-coding RNA of Columba livia (rock pigeon), 5006 nucleotides long. RefSeq lists it as uncharacterized. The transcript has 2 exons. Lineage: Eukaryota; Metazoa; Chordata; Aves; Columbiformes; Columbidae. The record is from RefSeq and is a predicted model, not a curated record.
UCCGCCCGCCCCCUUUCCCGCGGCGGCCAAUCGGGUCGCGCCCCCGCCUCCCUGCCCAUCCGGGUACUGCGGCGGGGCCGCGCGCCGGGCUUUGUCCUCCUCGGUCGGCUCGUGCCGCCCACCGCCCCUUAAAGGCGCAGGGGCGCGCGGGGCAUUGUGGGACCGUGGGGGUCCGGCGGGGCGGUGGCGCCGCCCCUCAGGGAGCUCUGGUCGGCGGGUCCGGGGAGCCGGGCCUGGAUCCUGCCGGAGCGGACCCUCAGCACUGGGCUCGCCUCGGCGGGCCGGGCCCCUCAGCUCUGCCGGGAGGCGAAGCGGCGGCUCCCGCGGCCGGGCCCUGGGGCGGGCGAGGGGCCGCGGCCGGUGUCGCCGUGCCCGCCGGUUUGUGCAGCCGGGGGUGUCCGGCGGGCAGGGCCCGUCCAGGGGGCGCGGCGGGGGGGGUUGGGGGCGGCUCCGGUGCUCCGAGUGGCGGCUCUGGGCACCCGCCGGCCCGGGGUGCACAGCGAACAGCGGGACGGCAGAGUCGGGACCCCGGGGCUGCUGUGCGGGCAGGAAAGAAACAGUUGAGAGCUGUGGGUUUGGUGUUUCGUGUGCUUCGUUUGGUGAUUUUUAUUUUAUUUUUUAAUAAGAAAUUGGAAUAUUGUGUCACACCUGGAAUAUUGUGUCCAGCUGUGGCCCCUCAGUUCCAGCAGGACAGGGAACUGCUGGAGAGAGUCCAGCGCAGCCACCAAGAUGCUGGAGGGAGUGGAGCAUCUCCCGUGUGAGGAAAGGCUGAGGGAGCUGGGGCUCUGGAGCUGGACAAGAGGAGACUGAGGGGGGACUCAUUCCUGGGGAUCAAGAUGGAAAGGGGGAGUGUCAGGAGGAUGGAGCCAGGCUCUUCUGGUGACAACCAGUGACAGGACAAGUGGCAAUGGGUGCAAACUGGAACACAGGAGGUUCCACUUAUAAUAUGAGAAGAAACUUGUUCCUGGUGAGGGCACCAUAGCCUGGCCCAGGCUGCCCAGGGAGGUUGUGGAGUCUCCUUCUGUGCAGACAUUCCAACCCGCCUGGACACCUUCCUGUGUAACCUCAUCUGGGUGUUCCUGCUCCAUGGGGGGAUUGCACUGGAUGGGCUUUCCAGGGCCCUUCAACCCCUCACAUUCUGUAUGUGGUGUGUUUGUCUCAUCAGAGUUUCCGGGGGGUUGAAGCAGCCCUGGCCAGAAGCACAGCAAAAGUACAAGCCCAGCGUUGUUCCUUCUAACCCAGUUUUCAAUGAUCAGGAAAACAGAAUUCACUUAAAAUUUAGUGUAUUAAGUAUUUUCUAGUGAUCCUGGGUGGGUGCUGCUUCAUGGCACUGAGGAGUAGGUCUGCUCUGCACAGCCCUGCGGUGGCUGACUCGGGGUGAAAAGAAGCAGCCUUGCCAAAAUUCAGCUCCCCAAACUGCCCACAAAGUUGAGUAAUGCCUUUCUACCACCUAGACUGUAAACGUGUCCUUCCGUUAUGAAUUCCCACUGAAAAAGCAUCGUGGCAUAAAAUGUAAAUGUAGAAGUUACUACUUUAUCCCAAAGGCUUCAUCUGGUGCUGAAGAGAGCCCCUGACGAGGGCAGGUGUCCCCUCUGCCCGGCCUGCCGUUGGUGACAGCGCUCGGGGUGUACCUGCGGCAGCUGAAGCUCUAACCAGGCCCUGAAGUUCAAAACCUCUGCACCUCCAGCCCACGAGGUCUCAGGCCCCCCGGCUUGGUGUUUGUCCGUCCAACUCCAGCUGAGCUGUGCUCAUAAGCACACGGGAAACACGGGGAAAAUGCGUGAAGAAUGUGGUAAAGUGUGAUGCUGCUUUGGCAAAGUUCCCUGACUUGCAGGGCUGUAUGUACACAUGAUGGGGUGGGUAAGGGCCCAGCUAAAUAGAGGAUGACAGUUUAUUGGAGGGGGAGUUGGGGUGGAUAAAGGAUCACAAGGAAUUGGUUUUAGAGAAUGACUUGUUUCUAUUAAUUUAUUAUGCAAUGUACGAGGUUGGGAGAGGCUGUGGGUACAGGGAAGGGUCAGAUACAGGAUGAUCAGAAGGAGUUGUCUUCAGAAGAAACAAAACUGUGCAGUGUACAAACUUGUAUACUGAAGGAACUUAUAAGCAGAAAGUUCCUUGGUUGGAAAUGGAAACAGGAGCAAGAAGUCUGGGUGCCGUUACAGAGUGUCAGCACGGCCACUGAUGUGCUGUGGCUGUUAAAAAGCGAGCUAAAGCAGUUUUGGGUACAGUAUUUCCGUGCAGCCCUGCUGUUGUGUGUGCAGCCCUGUUCUUGCUGCCAGGCCCACACCUGAUGGGAACUAGCUGGGAUGGUUCGGAGCAGCAAACCUUCCAGGAGCAGCGGAGCUGGAAGUUUGCCAAAUGUCGCAGCAUUUAGGUACGGUCGGAGAACAAGAAAAUCCCUCCCUAGGUGAGCUUUGUCUGUUUGUGGUUACAUCCAGGGUUUACACAGCUGAACGCCAAACAGCUCCCCUGUAUAAUUCAGAGUAAUUAAUCACUGUCCUUCCAGGUAUCCACGCAGCUCCUCUUGCUGCAGCCACCACAGCCCUCGUGGUUGUCAGCUCUGCCGUGUCCUGCUGUCUGUCCACUGGUGUCCUUCCUGCUGCUGUAGCAGCUGCACCUGCUCCUCCAUGCCCGGGGUGGCUUUGGCUGUGCUGGGCACUGUUUGCUCUCUGUGACUUGAUCCGGGGCUGCAGAACGGGAGCAGAGCGGGAGGUGGUACCGACCUUUGGGCUGAUCUGGAGAGCAGCCUCACCUGCUUCCUAAUGCUGCCCAUUGCUUUGAAAUAGCUGAGGCUCAGCAUAGGGACAAAUAAGUGAAUCCCAAGACCUGAGGAGCUCAUUCUCUUCCAUUUAUCCAUAUCUUAAUGAACGCAGGGACAGGCUCCAUAUCCCUGUCUCUCAGACCAGCAGGGGCAUUCCAUUCUUGCAUGAUUCUCACUUCUGAAGUCUUCAUUUCUGAGCAGGUUACUAGAAGAUGAGUUAUUUCCUCGGGAAGGGUGAGCAGAUGUGCGUGGCUCAGCUGUGAGCAGAUGUUCUCUCAUGUAAAGGAGUCAUUCGCUCACAUGACAGUUGCACAUCCCCAUGAGCUCUGGAGCUUUUAGUAGGGUAGUUGAUGGGUCUUCAGUGCCUUUUGUGCCCCACUGAGCGUGUCCUUGUGUACACACCUUGGUCAAUGCCAACUGUCAGGUCCCAGGACAUGGUGACUGCUCAAGGCCACCUCCCCCCGGUGCAGGGAGCAGGAGGAGCAGGACUCUUGGUCAAUAGAUGUGUCUUCAGGCAAGGACGUGCCCAGGCCCAGAGAAGCCUCUGGACCAGCUUGUAAUGAGCACAGCCGGAUCUGACCAGGUUAUAAAAUGGGUCCCUGUCUGAAGAGCCCUGUGGAGUUGGUCUGGGAGCAGUGGGACUGAGAUCAGGGACAGCAUCUAAGGAGACUUCCUGGGAUUGAGAGCCCUCACCUGCUCCUUGGUGAGUGAUGUUCUUCUGGAUACAUCCCUGAGUGAGCCCUUGCCCACCCCAUGCAAGUGACUCUUUCUUCUGGAUACUCCUGAGUGAAAGAGGCCUCUUGAGUGAGUGUGUGCAGGCUGUGGAGCUUUGAUCUUAUGUGGUCAUUUAGUAAUAAUAUCCCCAACUGGUACAUCAAACCUGCAGUUUAUUAAAUGUUGCCGCAGUGCUGAUCAACUUAGAUUAGCCCCCCACUUGCAUUGGUUUCUGUUGUUUGGUUAUGGUCUGUUGUUUGGUUUCAGUUAUGAAUUAAACUUGGUUUAAGCUUAUUAUUUUCUUGGAGUCAUUUUAUGGUGCCUCCAUGACAGCUCAUCAGCACUGAAAAUCAUACCUCGGGUGUACACAGAGCAUGUCUACCCGCCAGCGUGUCCCUGCUGCCCGAGGGGGGCGGGUGACUCUGGGUUCAAAAAUGUCACCUGCCUCCUCUGUUGAGUUUAUCUCAGAUGCUGAGCCAGAGCUCCAGCCUGAUCUCCCCAGCAGCACGCAGGCUGUUGCCUGAACGUUUUCAGGAAGGUGCUUCUACCCAGCUGCUGCUCUGAGACUGACUUUGGUUCUGGUUUUCCUGUUUUGUUUGGUAGUGGCGCUGCAAGUCCCCUGGCGUGCUGGUGACCGCUGCUCUCAGCCUGUAAAGCCUCAUUUCCGACUGAAAGCUGGUUCCCAUCUCAGGCAAGUUUCCAGCAGACGUUGCCCUCUGCAGACCUGCGCAGCCCAGCCCCGCCUGCAGCCUCAACUCACCCUCUGCGGACCUCAGAGCACCUUCUGCUUCCUCCGCGCUGCAAUGACACCGUGUCUGCAACACACACCUGCGAGCAGAGGAGGAGCCACGGUGCCCUGCUGAGUCAAACACAGCUGGGUGCGCGUGUCUGUGCUCAGCCCCUCGGCUCAAGCAGUGAAGUCCAUUUUGGGUCCGUUUCCUUUCUGAGAGCAAUUGCAGCUCUCGUCAGGCCAUCAAGCCAAAUGUCCCCACAUUUUCAAGGACAACAUCACCUUGUACACACCUGUAUGAUAUGCCUGAAGUGGCGCAUGGCGUAUGUGCAGGGUUCAGGGAACAGCAAUCCCCUCAAGGCAGCUGCACACCCUUGUGUUGGUGAUGGUGUCACAGCUCUGAGAGCCUGUGAUGUGUUUUUGUGAUCUCUGGGAGCAUUGCAAAGAGCUGCCAUGAGGCAGUUGUGCUUCUCCCGGUCCCCACAGCGCCAGCUCCGCUUCCACAGCCAGAGUGAAAAGACACCAUUUCCCAUGUGUGCUCCGCAGGGUUUGCUUAGCAGGUGUUUUAGCUCCUCACACGCUCCAAACAGCUUUGAAACAGCAUUUUAUUCGCAUAUGGAAUCACACUGACAGCUCUCCUGUAAUUUUGCUGCACUCUGCAGAGUGACCUUCCGCAGUCUUUUCAUGUCCCUGAAGCCAAGGCAAGAGCAGAACUUGCUGUUGUUCUUGUUCCAUGUGUGAGUUACCUACUGAAAUACUCUACUUAAAAAAAUUUUGGUUAGUAAAAUGAUUUUUAAUAAUCAA